RNAcentral lists this long non-coding RNA (212 nucleotides) under Lathyrus oleraceus (garden pea). RNAcentral's name for it is "Pisum sativum (pea) long non-coding RNA (PSAT_LNC008868)". The record is from RNAcentral. Lineage: Eukaryota; Viridiplantae; Streptophyta; Magnoliopsida; Fabales; Fabaceae.
CUUUAAGAUCGGAAAGAGUCCAACCCAUAGCUUCUUGAUUGGUCUUUAGCACAAAUAUGAGACGGGCUUCUUCUUCAAUUGUCAAAAGGUUGCUUAUGAUAACCGGCUUGCCCUCGGUAUCAUCAAGGAAUACAUAUUUCAAAGUCGAAGGUAACUCUUUUAAUUCAAUUGACGCUUUCUCGUCAAUUACCUCCUUCUUCAAAUUUUCUUCC